GAUGAAGAACGUAGCGAAAUGCGAUAAGUAGUGUGAAUUGCAGAAUUCAGUGAAUCAUCGAAUAUUUGAACGCACAUUGCGCCCCUUGGUAUUCCAUGGGGCAUGCCUGUUCGAGCGUCAUCUACACCCUCAAGCUCUGCUUGGUGUUGGGCGUCUGUCCCGCCCCCGCGCGUGGACUCGCCCCAAAUCCAUUGGCAGCGUUCCUUGCCCCCUCUCGCGCAGCACAUUGCGCUUCUCGAGGGCGGCUCCGGGACGCGAUCCAGCAAGAUGACCACCGUCUUUGACCUCGGAUCAGGUAGGGAUACCCGCUGAACUUAAGCAUAUCAAUAAGCGGAGGA
This 338-nucleotide unclassified non-coding RNA is filed under the name soil metagenome. RNAcentral describes it as "partial contains 5.8S ribosomal RNA, internal transcribed spacer 2, and large subunit ribosomal RNA". The stretch from base 1 to 120 matches the Rfam family "5.8S ribosomal RNA", at positions 35 to 154 of the family's 154-position model. The record is from RNAcentral.